This is a non-coding RNA of Otolemur garnettii (small-eared galago), 107 nucleotides long. The record is from Rfam. NCBI's taxonomy places the organism in Eukaryota, Metazoa, Chordata, Mammalia, Primates, Galagidae.
GUGCUUGCAUUGACAGCACAUAUUUGAAAAUUAGAAUGCUAUAGAGAAGAUUUGCAUGACUCCUGCAUAAAGAUGGCACCCAAAUUCACGAAGCGUUCCAUAUUUUU